This 796-nucleotide long non-coding RNA is filed under the name Mus musculus (house mouse). Its description in RNAcentral is "long non-coding RNA chr8:36096191-36096987". Lineage: Eukaryota; Metazoa; Chordata; Mammalia; Rodentia; Muridae. The record is from RNAcentral.
AAAUACAAGAAGCAAUAUUAUUUAGAUGGAAAAUUGUGGAAUUCUAUCAAGUAAGGCAUGAGCAAAUUUGGGUGCAAAUAAGAGGGGUUUUGACCUGAAUACUUAGGAUCUGGCCACCCUGAUUCUUCGGAUUCUUUUUGAGAUGGGGGUGGGAGUGUAUCUGACAGCUCAGCCUUGUAAAUCGUAGCGCCCCGAAGUUUGCAGAGGCAAAGCUCUGUUAUUGUGACUUGGAUCACAAAGAAGGCUGCGGAUCUUUUCCUGAUCUUACACUUGCAGCCUCUCACUGAGAAAUGGGAUCAUUUGCAUAAUUCUGCACCUACCCUCUGAGGUAGGCAUGUGAGAAGGUGCCAUUCCCAGGCUGUGCAGAGCUGGCACUACCCAGGGCUCUCUCUACUCCUGCUCUGAGAGUCAUUUGCAUAGUUCAUCAUCUUUUCCCUGAAAGCAAACAGGAGACAGUUCCAGGCCUAGAAGGGCUGCUCUAGCUCCAAAGACAAGCUGGGAAUGUCUGUUUGCAGAGCCUAAGGAGCCAGUUUUAACAGGACACAAUGAGUCAGUGACAGUGGGCAGCCCGGGGUUUCCUUUGUUACUCAUAUUCAGCGACUUCUCUUAAAGAUACUCUGUGUUUCUGGGCAGUUGUGUGACCCAUGUGGUGGUCAGCCUGCAGGAAAAUGUCAGAGUUGUGGAAGAGAGCAAAGGAGUGCCCGUGAGUGAGUGAGUGCUCUCAAGGUAGCUUCUGGCAGUACAGUACAAUAAUCAAGAGCCUACUGAACUCCCCAGGCUGUCAGAAGCUGAUGGC